AGAGUUUGAUCCUGGCUCAGGAUGAACGCUGGCGGUCUGCUUAACACAUGCAAGUCGAACGCAACCUUCGGGUUGAGUGGCGGACGGGUGAGUAACGCGUGAGAAUCUGCCUUAGGGUCGGGGACAACCACUGGAAACGGUGGCUAAUACCGGAUAAGCCGAUUGGUGAAAGAUUUAUUGCCCGAAGAGGAGCUCGCGUCUGAUUAGCUAGUUGGUGAGGUAAGAGCUCACCAAGGCAGCGAUCAGUAGCUGGUCUGAGAGGACGAUCAGCCACACUGGGACUGAGACACGGCCCAGACUCCUACGGGAGGCAGCAGUGGGGAAUUUUCCGCAAUGGGCGAAAGCCUGACGGAGCAAGACCGCGUGAGGGAGGAAGGCUCUUGGGUUGUAAACCUCUUUUCUCAGGGAAGAAGCUCUGACGGUACCUGAGGAAUCAGCCUCGGCUAACUCCGUGCCAGCAGCCGCGGUAAUACGGAGGAGGCAAGCGUUAUCCGGAAUUAUUGGGCGUAAAGCGUCCGCAGGUGGCGAUUCAAGUCUGCUGUCAAAGCACGGGGCUUAACUCCGUUAAGGCAGUGGAAACUGAAUAGCUAGAGUGCCGUAGGGGUAGAGGGAAUUCCCGGUGUAGCGGUGAAAUGCGUA
Molecule: ribosomal RNA, 639 nt
Filed under: uncultured bacterium
Lineage: Bacteria
Description: bacterial SSU rRNA
Rfam family: Bacterial small subunit ribosomal RNA
Source: RNAcentral